GCAGCCGCGGUAAUACGUAGGGGGCAAGCGUUGUCCGGAAUUACUGGGCGUAAAGGGCGCGUAGGCGGCAUAUUAAGUUAGAUGUGAAAUUCCCGGGCUUAACCUGGGCGUUGCAUUUAAAACUGAUAAGCUUGAGUGCAGGAGAGGAAAGUGGAAUUCCUAGUGUAGCGGUGAAAUGCGUAGAUAUUAGGAGGAACAUCAGUGGCGAAGGCGACUUUCUGGACUGUAACUGACGCUGAGGCGCGAAAGCGUGGGUAGCAAACAGGAUUAGAUACCCC
Molecule: ribosomal RNA, 278 nt
Filed under: uncultured bacterium
Lineage: Bacteria
Description: partial 16S ribosomal RNA
Rfam family: Bacterial small subunit ribosomal RNA
Source: RNAcentral